ACCCGUUGCUCCUUGGCG
RNAcentral lists this unclassified non-coding RNA (18 nucleotides) under Chlamydomonas reinhardtii. Its description in RNAcentral is "small RNA Cre_0246". Lineage: Eukaryota; Viridiplantae; Chlorophyta; Chlorophyceae; Chlamydomonadales; Chlamydomonadaceae. The record is from RNAcentral.